UUUUUGGAUAUGGUUUUGGUGCAAAAUUUGUGUCAUUUGGGGUUUAUAUGAAGAAGUUAUAGGCGCUCAAAGUUAAGGUGUAAGUUUUCGACGUACUGUCACUCUUUUGAGCAUACCGCACGCGUACGGACAGCAAUUGAGGAUCGGCGACCGGAUUUGAAGAGAGCACUUUUUCGGCUACAGUUUGUGCAUACUGUUUAUCGAAUUCCAAGCUUUUAUGAAGGAGAUAUUGGCAGUUGAAGUCAGCGCUUGAUAUCUAAGGGUAGUAAGUAGCCCGAAUUACUUGUGCUUGUGAUUUGAGCUAUAUCUUAGACAAUUUGAUGAGGUUUUAGCUCAAA
RNAcentral lists this long non-coding RNA (338 nucleotides) under Physcomitrium patens. RNAcentral describes it as "long non-coding RNA (PPAT_LNC002306)". The record is from RNAcentral. Lineage: Eukaryota; Viridiplantae; Streptophyta; Bryopsida; Funariales; Funariaceae.